Pseudophryne corroboree (corroboree frog) is the source of this 94-nucleotide small nucleolar RNA. Lineage: Eukaryota; Metazoa; Chordata; Amphibia; Anura; Myobatrachidae. The record is from RefSeq and is a predicted model, not a curated record.
GUUUAAUGAUGAGCAUCCAUGCUAAUUUUGAAACAUCAGGGGAUUUGUUUCCCUCUGGAUGUCAAUGUUAAGUACUUUAUUUACUCUGAAAACA